GCCCCGUGGGCAGCCAGGAGCAGGAUCCCUGUGCUCCAGGAGCAGAUCCAGCCCCUCCUGAGGAGACCUCCAGGAAUCCUGAGAUCCAGGAGCACCGUGAGGUGGAGCCGUGCAGUGUCCCCAAGGCUGGCAGCGGUCACGGGUCCCCUCCCCGGAGCCCGGCAGCCCCUGCAGACCCUGCCAGGAGGGAAAUCCUGGGGUGCAGCUGCUCUGGGGCGGCAGAGCUCAGCCCUCCUUCCUGUGGCGCUGGGGAAACUGAGGCACGAGCUGCCCAGGCUGGGGCUGUGUGUGGCCAGCAGCAGCUCAGCUCAGAGCCCCCCUCGCCAUUCCCAGCUGGAAUCGAUUCCCGCUCUGCUGCUGUGCUCAGGAGGAAGGCAAAGAUCGAGCUGUCGUACCAGCAGUUCAGCCUGAGCAUCGCCGUGGUGGCCACGAUGCUGCUGCACCA
This 445-nucleotide long non-coding RNA is filed under the name Zonotrichia albicollis (white-throated sparrow). Its description in RNAcentral is "lncRNA (ENSZALG00000009238.1)". Lineage: Eukaryota; Metazoa; Chordata; Aves; Passeriformes; Passerellidae. The record is from RNAcentral.